RNA transcript from Dreissena polymorpha, 3002 nucleotides. RefSeq lists it as uncharacterized. NCBI's taxonomy places the organism in Eukaryota, Metazoa, Mollusca, Bivalvia, Myida, Dreissenidae. The transcript has 8 exons. The record is from RefSeq and is a predicted model, not a curated record.
UUAAAACAUUUUGUAUAAAUUCAUAAAUAUUUGACAAAAUCGUAUAAUCUCGCUUAAAAAAAUGUAUCAUAAGUUUUUAUAAAUAUGACUACAAUUUAUAGCAUUUUUAUUUACUAUAUACUAUUAUAAAUGUUCAUUAAUUUAUAGAUUGUUCAUUUCAGAUUGAUUUAAUUGAAUUAUUAAAUGUUGCUUCGAUAAUAAAGAUUUUGCAAAUAAUGUAGUUAACCUAGUGUUCAAAAGGUUUCACUACAACCAUAUAUAGAAAACUGUUCCGCUCAAUAAUGUGGUCCAAAAUAGAUAACUUUCUUUUUGUUAUGUGCCUUUAAUGAUUGCGUAAUGUAAACCAGACAUUACUUAUAUAUAAAUCGGAAAUCGUAUAAAGCAGUUCAUUCACGAGAUAUAAAUAUAGGAAUACAAUAUAAUAAAAUCAAUAUUUACAAUGGCACUAAAAUACUGUCUUUGCUCAUUCUUCAUUUGCUGUUUGUGGGUCGGGAGUUCUUGGACAAACAAAUAUUCAGAGCCAUAUAGCUGCUAUGGAGAUGUGUGCAACCUUGAUCAUGACGCACAGUUUUGUGACGGGGACUACAUGUUAUGUCGUCAGUGUAAUGUCGUCAGGGAAGACUGUUUUACGGGACUACACGUUUGUAAUUGCUCACAGUUCUGUACUAAAUAUAGAAGGGAUAUAGAAGAACGUCGAGCAGUUGAAGGAUGCGUGCUUCCACCUCCACCAGUACAUGGUCAUUAUAACGUUAAUACCACACGCGUACCUAUCGGUGUCAAGUUAGAGGUCACGUGUGCUGCAGGAUACACCGUUCGGGACGAUAACCCGAUCACAUGCAGCAAUUUAUCAAUUUGGACUGGAUCCUUACCAUUUUGUACAGAAUCACACAUCAAUUGGAAAAAGAUACUUAUUAUUACACUUGGAGCGGGUCUAGUUAUAUCAAUGGUUAUCAACUUUCUAUUUGCACACCACUUCACCAAGAUGCAAGUGAAGAAACGUCAAGCUAAUAAUGUCAAGCAAUCAUAUACUCUAAAAAAACACACAUUGUUGGAAAUACAAGAGAUGCAGAGCAGUAUGAUGUUAAAAAUAAUGCCGAGACAAAAAGGCUCCUUCCAUCAGCUCCCGAUGAGCGAAAAAUUGAUUUCGAAGACAAUAGUAAAACAGAACAUGAUCCUAACGAACGGCAUCCACCAAUGACAAGCUAUCAACACGAAGAUGGAACACGUGGGAAUAUGUGUAAAUCAGAUAUGAAUUCUAUUCCUGAUGGAACAUCACAUGCAGAGAACAACACAUUGAAUGGGGCAUGCAGAAUGAAGGAUGCAGUUUCAGUCAAACUGUUGGUCACGGCCAAAAUGUGUCCGUUGUUCUAAAUCUUAACAACGGCACACCACUAGCUGCAACAAAGAUUAUUGCGAAGCAGGAAAAUCUCUCGGCUCAGCAACCAGGCAAAUACCCUAUUCCCGAAACACAAAACGGGGAUGCACAAUCUUUGGCCAAAACGAUGGGACCAACUACGCAACCUGAUGUUUCCACAACAGGCCCAGUGGUUCAGCCAGAAGAUGUGGGAGAAAAGGCAAAAAUCGCUGUAGGUCGAGGGGAAUUUUCGCAUGGUGACAUGCAUUCACAUGAAACAUUAGCGUUUUAAUGACGAACAUACAUUUCAGAUUGAGCUGAUUAACAUUGAAAUAUUGAAUUAUUAUUCAUGCCAAAUUGCUGCUUCUUAUGGAAUGUUUAAUGGCAGAUUUUAAACGAAGUGUAUGUUUAUUUAGUAGUAGAAUUGUUCAAAGUAUAUAUUUGACGUUUGACAAGGUUACCCUGGCCCAUGUGAGCUUUAGAAGCAAAUUUAUAAAUAUUUAUUUAUUUAUUUGACUCCUAUGAUUUUUCGCCCUUACCCCCGAUGGAAGCAUUGGCAGUAUUGAUUUAUUGGCCAAUUUGAAUAAAUUUAUAUGCAUAAUAAAGUCAAUGUAAAUAUCAAAAUGAAAUACGGUGGUGUGAGUUUGCUAAGAGUUAAAUAAUGUUUAAACGUUAUAGGUAAGAAGUGUUGAUGAUAUGCGAGGAAUUUUUUGGACAGUUGCAAGAGUAAAAUGUAAUUCAUAAAUGCAUGAAUAACAAAAAUAACUGUCUUUAACUCUCAUUAUAUAUGAAAUGUGCAAAAUGUGUUUACUUGUUCAAAGCUCAAUAUGUUGUUCGCAUAUUGAUCCUAAAGUUUUAAUUGAUUGUUUUGUAAACCGCACACCUAUUGUAAAUCAAAACUUUCUUUAUUUUAAACAACCCUAGCAAAUGUUACAUUGGGUUUGAUCUUGUUUGAACUUGUAACCAUAAUCGAAUUAUUGUUGUAAAUCUGAUUUGUUUUUCGUUCAAGAAGAACUUAAUAUUGUGUUAUACAUUAAUAUUAUUUAAGUAAAGUCAAAACAAGGUAAAAGGUUAAAUGAUGUUUGAUAUUAAUUCAAAUUGCUUAAUGAUUUUAAUAAUAUAGUGAAAAAAAUAUAUGGUAGAUUAAGUAUAUAAAUUUGCGUGGUCUGAAGCUAUUUAAAUGAAAUAAAAAUAGUGGCAAUCAGGAAUUGUUCUCCACUUUUCUAAAUAUUCAAUUUAACUGAGUUUGAGAUGAAAAGUUCAGCUGUACGUCUUUACAUGUGUUACCAUUGAAUUGGCACAUGGACAGUUGUGAAUAUUUAAUAGCAUUUGGAUGCUUAAUUUGACUUGCUUGAUGUUCUUAUUCUGAAGCAUUUUCAAACUUUACAUAUCAUUAAGCCUUUUGUACUUAUAAUUUUUAUGUUUAAUAUACAAUAGGAUGUUUUAAAUUCUCAUGUAUUUUUACGCAACAUGUUAAAUCAUGACUUUAUUUUCCUUUAAUACAGUUCCCUUUAUAUAGUUGCUGAGGAAACGUGUGUAUUUAGUGUGACUUUUGUAUGUUAUUUGGUUAAUAAACUUUAAUCUACUUGUUUCUUGUCUAUUAUACUUUUAUACAUUUUGGUUGACUGCAAGUGUAUGGACGUAUACA